UACGUAGGGGGCAAGCGUUGUCCGGAUUUACUGGGCGUAAAGAGCGCGUAGGCGGAAGGUUAAGUGUGGUUUGAAAGCCCCCGGCUCAACCGGGGAAUGUGAUUGCAAACUGGGCUUCUUGAGUGGGAUAGAGGAGAGUGGAAUUCCUGGUGUAGCGGUGAAAUGCGUAGAGAUCAGGAGGAACACCCGUGGCGAAGGCGGCUCUCUGGGUCGGUCCUGACGCUGAGGCGCGAAAGCGUGGGGAGCGAACGGG
RNAcentral lists this ribosomal RNA (253 nucleotides) under uncultured bacterium. RNAcentral's name for it is "partial 16S ribosomal RNA". It matches the Rfam family "Bacterial small subunit ribosomal RNA", at positions 524 to 776 of the family's 1533-position model. The record is from RNAcentral.